Heterocephalus glaber (naked mole-rat) is the source of this 878-nucleotide long non-coding RNA. Lineage: Eukaryota; Metazoa; Chordata; Mammalia; Rodentia; Bathyergidae. The record is from Ensembl.
CAGCCCUACCAGCCACCAGCUCGGCCGCGUGGGCACCUGUAACAACAGCCAGCACCACCACCCCCCUGCCUCUGGCCUCUUGGCUGUGCAGCUUCCUGGUUCCACACUACAGAGGCACAGGGAGACAUAAAGGCCAUUGUCCUGAGUUGCAGAAGUGAACAACAGAGAGAGGGCCUCUCUUAGGCUCCCUUAUGAAAACUGAAGCCCACUGGAAAAGUGAAGAGAAUCUCUGCAAUAAAGGCACACCAGACCACCGUACUUGGUUCGACAAUCAGGAUUUAGAUGAGGAUGAAAGGAGAAGGGCUGAGACAAAGACAGACCAAAAUUGUGGCUGUUGCAAUUGGCAAUCUUCUAAGCACACCCAAGUUGUCUAAGGAAAAACCCAGGGCCAAUCAAGGCCUGCAAGAAAACUGGACACUGAGCAUAUGCUGUAUGUAGCCACUGCCAAGGCCCUGUUCUGUAUGUCAGAUGGCUGGUGUGCCUGACCACAGCACUGGAAGAUUGUCCCCACUCCUAGACAGGGGCUAUCAAGAUGGUGAAGGCCAGCCUAAACCUUCACCCUCUGCCCUAAUAAAGAGGACUGAAGAGGCCUGGGGUAACCUACAAUGUCCCUGUUCAUGGACAUCUCCAUCUCCCGUGAAAAACCCUGGGUGACCCUGGAUGUCAUAGAUUCAGAGGCUAGCCGCUCUUGUGUCUUGCUGUGUCUGGCCUUGAACUCAUGGGAAUCCUCUUGCCUCAGCCUCCUGAGUGCUGGGAUUACAGGUGUGCACCACCAAGCCUGGCUACCCCUUCUUAAAACAAAAAAGAAAGAAAGAAAGAAAGAAAGAAAGAAAGAAAGAAAGAAAGAAAGAAAGAAAGAAAGAAAGAAAGAAAGAAAG